UGGUAAUGCCGGAUGCUCCGACUCCUCGCAUGGGGUGUCGGGAAAGAUUUCAUCGGUAUGGGAUGGGGUCGCGUCCUAUCAGGUAGUCGGCGGGGUAACGGCCCACCGAGCCUACGACGGGUAGCCGGCCUGAGAGGGCGACCGGCCACAUUGGGACUGAGAUACGGCCCAGACUCCUACGGGAGGCAGCAGUGGGGAAUAUUGCACAAUGGGCGCAAGCCUGAUGCAGCGACGCCGCGUGCGGGAUGACGGCCUUCGGGUUGUAAACCGCUUUUGAUCGGGAGCAAGCCUUCGGGUGAGUGUACCUUUCGAAUAAGCACCGGCUAACUACGUGCCAGCAGCCGCGGUAAUACGUAGGGUGCAAGCGUUAUCCGGAAUUAUUGGGCGUAAAGGGCUCGUAGGCGGUUCGUCGCGUCCGGUGUGAAAGUCCAUCGCUUAACGGUGGAUCUGCGCCGGGUACGGGCGGGCUGGAGUGCGGUAGGGGAGACUGGAAUUCCCGGUGUAACGGUGGAAUGUGUAGAUAUCGGGAAAGAACACCA
This 539-nucleotide ribosomal RNA is filed under the name Bifidobacterium pseudocatenulatum. RNAcentral describes it as "bacterial SSU rRNA". It matches the Rfam family "Bacterial small subunit ribosomal RNA", at positions 161 to 711 of the family's 1533-position model. Lineage: Bacteria; Bacillati; Actinomycetota; Actinomycetes; Bifidobacteriales; Bifidobacteriaceae. The record is from RNAcentral.